GUGUUGUAAGUGUCUAAGGGCGCACGGUGGAUGCCUUGGCGCAAGGAGCCGAUGAAGGACGUGGGAGGCUGCGAUAUGCCUCGGGGAGCUGUCAACCGAGCUGUGAUCCGAGGAUUUCCGAAUGGGGAAACCCAGCACCAGUCAUGUGGUGUUACCCGCCGUUGAAUAUAUAGACGGUGUGGAGGGAACGAGGGGAAGUGAAACAUCUCAGUACCCUCAGGAAGAGAAAACAAUAGUGAUUCCGUGAGUAGUGGCGAGCGAAAGCGGAUGAGGCUAAACCAUGCACAUGUGAUACCGGGUAGGGGUUGUGUGUGUGGUGUUGUGGGGUUCAUCUUUCCAGCUCUACCUGGCUGGACAGCAGUAAGAAAGUGUCAUGUUAGGUGAAGUGGCCUGGAAUGGUCCGCCGGAGAGGGUGAGAGUCCCGUAACUGAAAACGUGGUGCCUGUUGUGAUGAAUACCCGAGUAGCAGCGAGCCCGUGGAAUUUGCUGUGAAUCUGCCGGGACCACCCGGUAAGCCUGAAUACUACCUUGCGACCGAUAGCGGACAAGUACCGUGAGGGAAAGGUGAAAAGUACCCCGGGAGGGGAGUGAAAUAGUACCUGAAACCGUGUGCUUACAAUCCGUCAGAGCCCUCGUUGUGGGGUGAUGGCGUGCCUUUUGAAGAAUGAGCCUGCGAGUCAGUGCUCGGUGGCGAGGUUAACCCGUCUGGGGGUAGCCGUAGCGAAAGCGAGUCCGAAUAGGGCGUUUGAGUCGCCGGGUCUGGACCCGAAGCGGAGUGAUCUACCCAUGGCCAGGGUGAAGCAGCAGUAAGAUGUUGUGGAGGCCCGAACCCACUUAGGUUGAAAACUGAGGGGAUGAGCUGUGGGUAGGGGUGAAAGGCCAAUCAAACUCCGUGAUAGCUGGUUCUCCCCGAAAUGCAUUUAGGUGCAGCGUCACGUGUUUCUUGCCGGAGGUAGAGCUACUGGAUGGCCGAUGGGCCCUCACAGGUUACUGACGUCAGCCAAACUCCGAAUGCCGGUAAGUGAGAACGUGGC
This 1034-nucleotide ribosomal RNA is filed under the name Tsukamurella tyrosinosolvens. Its description in RNAcentral is "bacterial LSU rRNA". It matches the Rfam family "Bacterial large subunit ribosomal RNA", at positions 1 to 981 of the family's 2925-position model. The record is from RNAcentral. Lineage: Bacteria; Bacillati; Actinomycetota; Actinomycetes; Mycobacteriales; Tsukamurellaceae.